Long non-coding RNA from Saccostrea cuccullata (small rock oyster), 2008 nucleotides. RefSeq lists it as uncharacterized. NCBI's taxonomy places the organism in Eukaryota, Metazoa, Mollusca, Bivalvia, Ostreida, Ostreidae. The transcript has 7 exons. The record is from RefSeq and is a predicted model, not a curated record.
UUUCAAACAAUGGAGAACCCUGAACAAGUAACAAGCUACUAAAACUACUAACGUCUGCUAAAUGUUGUGUGACGCGUCUAGUGUGUUGGUGUUAGUGUCUGUGUGCUUGUCACCUCUCGCUUUCAGCCAUCACCGCUGGCUAGCAGCAAUGCGAAAAGGGGGAAGAAAUUCUAAUGACUUCCCCUGCCAGUACAUAGCCUCUCCACAACAAGUCCUAUGCGAUGCCUCCACGUGGAAGCAGACGGAUACUGGGUAUCAUUUUGUCCCAGGCUAAGUUCGCAAGGACGCACGGGAAGAUGAGUCUCAAAAGCAUUGAGGAAUACUCUUAAGGCUGAACAGGAUCCUGAAGUGAGGAGGACUCCCUCUCUCAUUGAACUGCAUACAGCAGCAGAAAGCAGGAUUUCAGUUCCCCUUUGAUUCAGAAGAGGAACAACAAUGGAGGACCAAGGUCAUUAAUAUAAGAAGAGUCUAUUCCUGUCUGUGUUUUGCAGCAGAAGAAAGUUAAGACUGACUAGGAAUUCUAAGUGAGGAAGAGUCCCUUUCCCAUUCCGCUGCAGCCAUGAGGAGAAUACUCUAUUUUCAAGGAAUUUGACAUGGGAAGAGGGCCAGUACAUGCUGACCAAGUGAAGAAAAAGAAGAGUCUAUUGCACAAGCUUUGUACAGCAGCCAAUAUCUGAUUAAGGAGUGGGCAGACGGUUAUGCUGGCAUUGAUCCUGUUUCCAAAAGCAGAUCAACAUGAUUCCUCAAGACUACAAAGAGAUCAACUAUGGGACCUGAAAAUAAAGGCAGACUGCCAUCAAUUUCAUGUUUCUUUGAUAGCAGACAAAUAUGCUUCAACAAUAGUACAGAGAGUAAUUUAAGGUUUGGACUGCAAGUGAUGGACACACUAAAUAACUCAACUCAAUCAAAGAAUUCAAUGGAUAGUGCUGAGUACAUUAUCAUAUAUCUACAAAGUGAUGGGCACACUAAAUAGCUUAACUGACAGCUGAAUUCAAUGGACCGUGCUGAGAAGAUUGUUAUAUAACUACAAAGUGAUGGACACACUAAAUAGCUUAACUGACAAAAUUCAAUGGACCGUGCUGAGUACAUUGUUAUCUACAAAGUGAUGGACACACUAAAUAGCUGAACUCACAGAAUCCAAUGGACAGAGUUGAGUACCGUAAAUCUGGAAAUUUUUGCUGUAGAUAAAUUUUUAGCAAAUUUGCGAGUUCACUGCAUUCGCAAAAAUAUUUUUCUUAAAAAUAAUUCAACAAUAAGAAAAUGUAAGCAAAGUAGUGGUCAUUCGCAAAAUUUUGAAACGUAAAAAUUAAUCAACAGCAUUUUGACCCAGAUUCGCAAAAUAAAAUCGACGUAAAAAUUUCCAGAUUUACGGUAUGUACUAAUAUCUACAAAGUGAUGGACAUAGUAAACAGCUUAAUUCUCAGGAUUCAGUGUACCAUGCUGAGUACAUAACUCAUUAAGGAUAACUCAUAUGACAUCCACAGCAGAUCACUCAAAGUUGUGUUACUACAUUAUUGUACAACUUUUCAUAUACUACGUUAUUUUUUCUGAAUGUUUUUUUUUGUAUCUGUAUAUUAUAUUUUUUAAUUUUAAAAAGUUAAAGAUUGGAUUUUUAAGCAAAAAUAUCAAGAGAGGUAAAUCAGUGCUUGUCUGAAUAUCUAAGCUUAAGAGAAAGGGAGGUAAUUUUUUUUAUUAUGAAUCCUUGUCCAGAGCAUAUGCUUUCUCCCCUUGGUCCAAUGUGGCUAAUACUUCUCUCACAGAGUGCCACUGGUCAAUGGAUGUGUAGUGACCUUGAACAAGUUUCAAGGCCAAGAGUCAAGGUUAAAACCCCUUUCAGCUACUUUACAUUUUUAUGUUCAUUGCUGAAAGUGGGACCCUUUGAGAUGGCCACCAUCUCAAUGAUAUCUAAUUUUAGUUUGAAAAUUGCUAGAAAAGAUAAAGUGAUCUCAUUGUAACAUUAUUAUUUUUUAGUGUUUUAGAUUUUAAAUAAAUAUAACAGUAUGCAAAA